AUUUAAGUAAUUUAAAAAAAAUUUUGAUUUGUGGUAUCAAAUUUGUAAAUUUAUUUACCUUAAAUU
This 66-nucleotide transfer RNA is filed under the name Cychrus caraboides. RNAcentral's name for it is "tRNA-His". Lineage: Eukaryota; Metazoa; Arthropoda; Insecta; Coleoptera; Carabidae. The record is from RNAcentral.